ACCCGACCGCCACGCCGCCCUCGUCCCCAGAUCCAUCCGCGGCGCCGCCCUCGUCCCCGGAUCUGGCUGUCGCACAGCCGCCACCCCCGGUUUUGGCCGUUGCGCCGUCCCACCACCACCCUUGAGCACCACCGGCUCCCGUCGUUGGAUUGGUUUGCCGCCCGACACCCAUACCACUGCUGCCAACCUCGUCGGCCCAUGAUCCAAGCACCACCGCCAUCGCCAUCCGCCUGAACCACAGCCAUGCAUCGACGGAGACCCCGCACUCCACUCAGGCGCGAUUCACAGCCCGCCUCGCGUUCCCCACCGGCUCGCCCUGUCGCCUGCACCGUGCUCCCCACCGGCGCACCCCUUCCCCGUUCGGCCAUCCCCCAUGCUUACUUCGUCACCACCUGCAGCUAGAGGAGGCCUCGGCCUGCAGCUCACCGGCGCACCCCGUCCCCGUCCGCCAUGCCUACCUCGUCACCACCUGCAGCUAGAGGAGUUCUCUGCCUGCAGCUAGUGGAGGCCUCGGCCUGGAGCUAGGUGGCACAUCCGUCAGAGUGGAAGCAGCGGGAGGACAGAGGACCAUACCUCACGGCCAUCACCCGCCAGGCCUGAUGCCCUUCUUGAGGAGCAUUGUAGUGCUUGACAAUGGCCGUGAAGAGGCAAGUGUUGACUCUGUGCAGGUAUCUAUAUGGGACGCACAUCCUGUGUUUCCUAAAAUGCCACCAUGAACAUGAAUACUACUUCAGUACUCUGUUAGUAGAGUGCACUUCAGUUUCCCUGUCAAGCUGCAUAGAUAGAACCAAGUUCCUGUCAAGCUGCUGCUGCUACCGCCACAUUGUAUUCAACGGAUCUGCGGCCGCUGCGCUGCCCGCCGAGCAGCUGCCGCCGCCGUGUCAAAUUCAAACUGCACGUAUGCGUUGCAAUCUAAGACAAGGAGUCACGUUUGAUCUCCAUAGGUAAAAACCAAAAAUCAUCAUCUGUUAUACUUGGAGUUUCAGUGAUCAAAAUUGCAAAAUCAUUUGAUUUUAAUUGCUUGGAUGAUUCAGUGCUAAACAUUGCAGUAACACUUGAGCUUCAGUUCUACAAAUUUCAAUCCUUCGUUAGUAGAGUGCACUUCAGUUUCCUUGAGAAAACUGAAAACUGCUAUAUUCGGAUUGUGCUUGGCACGGCUGUACCUGUAUUUUUGGUGCUUGGCAUGGCUGUACCUACAGACCACUAGCAAACUUGGGGCACUUCAGACUUCUGAGGACUAGAUAGAGGAUGGGAUGCGAAUUGCGAUGCAACUACGGCAUCUCAACCGACAUGGCGGCGAGAGUGGCUCGACCGUAACGCAGUGGCUGCAGCUCGACGGUGACGACGCGGAGGCGGCUCCAUUGGAUGUAACAUGACGGCGGCGACGGAGGAGGCAGCUUGACGGCGACGCAACUGCUGUAGCUCAAUAGCAACGAGGGCACAUCGGCUCGACGAUCCGCUACUUUUCUGAUCCAUGCAUCACGCCUCUCUUUAAUUUUUGGCGCGAGAAGAUUCAGAGUAUAGAGAAACAAGCAAGUUCGUUCAACUAUGCUGUCCUGGUCCGUUCGCCUCGACCCUAAGUCGUGCAACGAUGGAGCCGCCGGCUGUUCAUGAACAUAGCACCCUGGAUCUUGCUGCCCACCAUCCAGUUCAACUUCUGCUGAAUUCGGUUCAGCUAGCCUGUGUAUGUGGCUACCAAAGUGGCAUGCAUUCAGCUGCGACUCUGUUUUGGUUUCCACAUGUCGCCAACUGCUAUUUGCGUGAAAAAGAUUUAUGUAUACUGGGACCUCCAUGUACUGAACAUGUUAAAAGAUGCUCCACGUCUUAUAAGUGUCCACUCUAUAGAAAAAAAGAACAUAAUUAUAUGCAAUACCAACAAACAAUGCAGCAAGCACUGCUCUCUGAGGUAGCGGGCAGAGAAAAGAAGGUAGUUUAGAGACGUCUGGAGACACCUCGUUGGCGUCAUUUCAGAAAUUCAGAGACAAAACAAAACAUAUGAAAUCCAGAGAAAAGGCAUAUGGAGUUGUUGUGCAGUGUGUUUACCUGCUGCUACACUACUGUGUCCCCAGCCAUGACACCUUAUGUUCGUGUUAUCACCACAAAACUGAGUACAGAAGACUCAAGAUGCUAGUCGCCCUCCACCUCCUCAAAGCACCUCUCUGCUUUCUUGAGAAACCUGCAUGAACCCUAUGCUAUCGCCUCGGUUCUACUGAAACUGAUGUGCACCAUGUUACUGCAGCCUUUGGCUCAUAUUCGUUUAUUUCAUUUCGUAGCUUCGAUUUGAAACUUGUUAAGUUUAUUGUGCGGAGGCUCCACAAAGAUGCCCAAGAAAGUGUGUUAUGGACCUUGUAACUCCUUCCGCUUUUCUGUUCAUGCAUGUACUUCACGUGAUUUGAUGGAA
Molecule: long non-coding RNA, 2401 nt
Organism: Aegilops tauschii subsp. strangulata
Lineage: Eukaryota; Viridiplantae; Streptophyta; Magnoliopsida; Poales; Poaceae
Source: RefSeq, a predicted model, not a curated record